CAACACCUCUGGCUGGGGCUGCUGGAGUGAGAGCGAGGGCGAGGAGCUGGUGCUGGGCGUACUGUGAGGGUGCUAAGGACGCGGGCUGGAGCCGACCGUCCUGAAUUAGGGAGCCGGAGGACUUGCCGCAAGAGGUCACACAGCCAACUAGAGACUCACACCCGUGCCAGUCCCCAAAUGCCCAAACUCCGUUCUGUCUGAUGAGCCAAGCUGAUUUGUCGGGAUCGUGGAGGGGGUGCUAAGGAGGAGGUGAACGGCAGAGAGAAGAGUGGGGGUUCCUCCUCUUUCACCUUCCUCCUCUGAAGGCAGAGGCUGAGCCUGCACGAUGAACAAGAUCCUUAGGCACCGCCAGGGGGAGACAGAGGCCAGACUAAGCGCUUGCUUGUAAAGGAAAAGUGGUGCUGAGUCCAAAGAGACCUGUUCCUAAGGCAGCUGUGAGGGAAUUGAUCAGUACAUCUCCAGAGACACCUCCUACCCCGUGCACUGUCCAAAUGGGGACAAGGCCCUGUGGCCCUAAUGCAAGUCAGGGUAGCCCUCAGGAAUCACUGGCACCGAGUUCAUGGUUGGGACUCCAUUUCUGGGCUCUGUGGGCAGAAUGCUCCCUGAACAUAACCCUCUCUGUUUCUGAGCUAAGAUGUGCCCCCAGAAGGAGUGGCUUUUCUUGCCGCUUCCAAAUAAAAAUCUCAUAAUGGUCA
Long non-coding RNA from Callorhinus ursinus (northern fur seal), 695 nucleotides. RefSeq lists it as uncharacterized. The record is from RefSeq and is a predicted model, not a curated record. NCBI's taxonomy places the organism in Eukaryota, Metazoa, Chordata, Mammalia, Carnivora, Otariidae.